This 469-nucleotide ribosomal RNA is filed under the name uncultured bacterium. Its description in RNAcentral is "partial 16S ribosomal RNA". It matches the Rfam family "Bacterial small subunit ribosomal RNA", at positions 28 to 507 of the family's 1533-position model. The record is from RNAcentral.
GACGAACGCUGGCGGCGUGCUUAACACAUGCAAGUCGAACGAAAAGGCCCUGCUUGCAGGGUGCUCGAGUGGCGAACGGGUGAGUAACACGUGGGUGAUCUGCCCCUUAUUUUGGGAUAAGCCUGGGAAACUGGGUCUAAUACUGGAUAGGACCAUGCUGUAGGUGGUGUGGUGGAAAGAUUAGUUUCGGUAAGGGAUGAGCUCGCGGCCUAUCAGCUUGUUGGUGGGGUAAUGGCCUACCAAGGCGUCGACGGGUAGCCGGCCUGAGAGGGUGGACGGCCACAUUGGGACUGAGAUACGGCCCAGACUCCUACGGGAGGCAGCAGUGGGGAAUAUUGCACAAUGGGCGCAAGCCUGAUGCAGCGACGCCGCGUGGGGGAUGACGGCCUUCGGGUUGUAAACUCCUUUCGGCCAUGACGAAGCCCUUGUGGUGACGGUAGUGGUAGAAGAAGCACCGGCUAACUACGUG